Molecule: long non-coding RNA, 409 nt
Filed under: Salmo salar (Atlantic salmon)
Lineage: Eukaryota; Metazoa; Chordata; Actinopteri; Salmoniformes; Salmonidae
Description: lncRNA (ENSSSAG00000119997.1)
Source: RNAcentral
GGACCAGCAGACGAUACGUUUCUGGUUCCUUCCCGACCCGAGAAACAGAAGCGGGUGUGUAAAGUCAUAUUGGACCGUUUUGACCAACAGUACGGCCAGGAACUUGGCCCCCUAUGGCCGUCUGCAAGGUAUGUCAGCGUUCACCUCGUCCUCUUAAUCGUUUUUCUACAGUAUUACGUGUCAAUUACAAUAUUAUAAAUCGUUUUAUUACUCUGAACUUAAAUCGGAUGAGAACUCUGUUUCCUAAAUGGCACCGUAUUCCCUAUAGGUCCUGGUCUAACGUUGUGCGCUAUACCUUUAUUUAACUAGUCAGUUAAGAACAAAUUCUUAUUUUCAAUGACGGCCUAGGAACAGUGGGUUAACUGUCUUGUUCAGGGGCAGAACGACAGAUGUGUACCUUGUCAGCUCG